Molecule: small nucleolar RNA, 72 nt
Organism: Cricetulus griseus (Chinese hamster)
Lineage: Eukaryota; Metazoa; Chordata; Mammalia; Rodentia; Cricetidae
Gene: Snord45b
Product: small nucleolar RNA SNORD45
Source: Ensembl
GGUCGGUGAUGUCCUGGCAUGUAUUAGCUGAAUGCUAACUUGAUGCAAAUUCUCAAGUGAUGCUGAGACCUU